Molecule: long non-coding RNA, 282 nt
Filed under: Mytilus galloprovincialis (Mediterranean mussel)
Lineage: Eukaryota; Metazoa; Mollusca; Bivalvia; Mytilida; Mytilidae
Source: RNAcentral
AACAAGAAUGUGUCCCCAGUACACGAAUGCCCCACUCGCACUAUCAUUUUCUAUGUUCAGUGAACCGUGAAAUUGGGGUAAACCCUCUAAUUUGGCAUUAAAAUUAAAAAGAUCAUAUCAUAGGGAACAUGUAUACUAAGUUUGAAGUCGAUUGGACUUCAACUUCAUCAAAAACUACCUUGACCAAAAACUUUAACCUGAAGCGGGACAGACGGAUGAACGAACGGACGGACGAACGAACAGACGGACGAACGAACGGACGAACGGACGGACGAACGGACG